Molecule: transfer RNA, 71 nt
Filed under: Cosmozosteria sp. B117
Lineage: Eukaryota; Metazoa; Arthropoda; Insecta; Blattodea; Blattidae
Description: tRNA-Cys
Source: RNAcentral
GGUCUUAUAUUCAUUAAAUAUGAUAAUAGAAUGCAAUUCUGUAGGAGUAACAAUAAGAGUUACUAAGGCUU